GUGAGGUCACGACUAUUCAGUCACUGGUUGGUCUGCCAGAUGACAGCAGAUUCAUGUGCAAGCCCAGCAGAGGUCAGCCAAGCUGACUCAAACCAGAGGAACAAGCUGAUCACAGAAAUCAGGAGCAGAAUGAAUACUUGCAGGUGUAUUCUACCAAGGGAGGACACCAAAUGCCACCCAAGAUGAAUGGAACAGAAGGGGAUGGAACCAUGGAUGAGGCUGACAGGGAACCAAGGAGGGCAAAGAACAAGCCUGUGUCAACGAAAGACCAAAUGAGACACCCUCAAGGAGGAGACGUGGGAGUUGCCUUCAUUGGAUAG
RNAcentral lists this long non-coding RNA (320 nucleotides) under Rhinopithecus bieti (black snub-nosed monkey). Its description in RNAcentral is "lncRNA (ENSRBIG00000046078.1)". Lineage: Eukaryota; Metazoa; Chordata; Mammalia; Primates; Cercopithecidae. The record is from RNAcentral.